This is a long non-coding RNA of Phragmites australis (common reed), 937 nucleotides long. RefSeq lists it as uncharacterized. The transcript has 2 exons. Lineage: Eukaryota; Viridiplantae; Streptophyta; Magnoliopsida; Poales; Poaceae. The record is from RefSeq and is a predicted model, not a curated record.
CAACCCCGUGCAGGCGCUCGACGGGGAGGUGGUGAACGCGGAUAAGAUCCAGCUGUACGCCGGCCUCGACGUCACCACCAACAAGAUACCCCUCGCGGAGAGGCGGGGGACGGGCAGCUACGCCGCAACGGGAGGCACAGAGGCGAGGGGCAGUCGACAGCAGCCGACGGAGUCGUGCUCAGAUUGAGAAUUGGCUUAGACUAGAUGGAGAGUUAGAAUGCGCUGGGAUUUAUGGGCUGGGCCAACGACGAAGCCAACAAGCCACUCGCUAGCAAGAGCUGGACAGCCAGCUUAGGCUCAGGUUGUUUGACCGCUGAGCUGGACCGUCGUUUGGUCACCACCUGAGCCUCGAGCUUUGUUUUUAACUUUAGUCUCAUCGAGUCUGAGCUAACUAGUGAGCCUUGAUUUUUGUUUUCAACGCUAGUCUCAUUGGGCCUGAGCUGACUCGUGAGUCUCAAGUUUUGUUUUCAGCUCUAAUCUCACACAGGCCUCUCCUUCCGAUGACGGCCGAAGCGCUAAUGCCAUGGUGUUCUGCCACAUGCAUCCUCAAUGGAGUAAGGUGCCGAUUGGGAGGAGCUGUCAGCUUGAGUUAUCAUUUUGAAAGAGUUGCCGAGUGUAGAUGGUGAGUUGAUAGGUCCGUUGCUAUGCGUAUGUUGUUUUCCAUAGUGUCUACAUGCUUGCAGAAGGUGCGCAUUCAAUGAGGGGAUGAGGGGUACGACGAGGAGUCGGAGAUGCACCUUGUAAAUAGAUGCGCCCUAGCGAUUUGGAAGGGGAGUAGCAUUUUAGUGCCAUAUAUAUAAUCUAAAUUUCCAGACAGGAAGAGUUUUCUUUUCUAAAAAGAAAAUAUCUGAUUUGGAGCUUACUUGUUGCACAUACUGUUCGAGAGCAUCGAGACUGACUAUCAAAUGUUGGUUCGAAUAAAUUUCUUCCAGUUGAA